This 3662-nucleotide long non-coding RNA is filed under the name Homo sapiens (human). RNAcentral's name for it is "long intergenic non-protein coding RNA 1291". The record is from RNAcentral. Lineage: Eukaryota; Metazoa; Chordata; Mammalia; Primates; Hominidae.
GAGUUUGAUGUCAUCACCCUGCAAACGAUGAAACAAAUCCCCAUUUUAUUGAUGACUGAUAACUUCAAAUGUGACAAGAGGAUUCAUUUCCUUAUUCAAUCAUUCCACAAAUAUUCACUGAGCAUCUCCUACGUGCCAGGCACCAGGCUGGACUUUAGGAUCAAUCAUAAUAAUUUUCAGGUUAUGGAUAAUGCCAAUGGGCACUUAGGAUGAUCAGGGAGGGCAGUUCUGAGAAGGGGCAUAUGAGCUGUGUUCCAGUUGUCUAUUGCUGUGUGACAAACUGCCCCAAAACUUAAUGGCUUAAAACAAUGACAGAAAUUACAUUACUCAUGAAUCUGCAGUUUAGGCAGGUGGGGACAGCAUGUCUCUGCUCCACCUAACAUCAGCUGAAGGUGGGAACUGGAAUCAUCUGGAGGCUUCCUCACUUACAUGUCUAGUGGUUGAUGCUGACUGAUGUUGGCUGUUGGCAAGGACCUCUGACAGGUCUGUUCCCCGAAACACCUGCAUGUGGUACAUGGCUUUGUCACAGCAUGAUGGCUGGGUUCCAAGGGUGAGCCUCACAAGACAGAGAACCAGGUGGAGGCUGUGCCAUCUUUGGUCACCUAGUCUAAGAAGUUACAGUCACUUCUAUACCAUUUAAUUCAUUAGUAGCAAGCCACUGAGGCUAGUCCAUGUUCAAGAGGAGGGGAAUUGGAUUCCCCCUUUUUUUAGGAUAGAAAAGAAUUUGUGGACAUGUUUUCAAAUGACCACAAACUAUGACCUAAAGAAAUUAGUGGAAGAGCAUUCCAGGAAGAAUUGUAAAGUCUCUGAUGCUGGAAAGGCUUGGUGUGUUUAAGGAAAUGAAAGGCCAGAAAGGCUUGAGCACAGCAAGGGCAGAAGGUAAGAUUUGAGGUUAGAUGUGGACAGAAGCCAUAUUAGGCAGUUAUAGGUGCUUGGAUUUUAUUCUGGAUGCAGUGAGGGCUGUUGAAAGAUUUAAGGUUUGUAUUCACUUCUUGAAAGGAUCACUCCAGCUAAUAUGCAGAGAAUGGAUUGAGGUGAGAUAAGGGUAGGGAAAACCAGUUAGGAUGCUAUUGGAGUGGUUUGGGGAGAGAGAGUGAUGGCUUGGACAAGAAUGUUGGCACUGGAGAUGAAAAGAAGUAGAUAGAAAUGGUGGAAGUAAAUGAACAAGUCUACCAGGAGACUGAAUGUGAGAGAAGGAAAGGAAGGCAGGAAACAAGAAUUCUUGGGUUUUAGGCUCAUGUCCAUCUUGAUGGUGGAGCCCUUUCUGUGAUUGGAAGACUAAGAGAGGAACUUGUUGAUACGGGCAAAAGGUAAAAUCCAGAGUCCAGUUCUAGGCACGUCAAACUUGAGAGGUUUGUAAGGUAUACUGAAGGCAAGAAGUAGACAUUUGGAUAUAUGAGCCUGAAACUCAGUGGAGAGCUUGGGACUGGAAAUAUAAAUUUGGGAAUUAUCAGCAUAUGGAUGGUAUUUAAAGCUGUAGGCCUCGGUGAGGUCACCAGGGGAAAAUCUAGAACAAAAGAGUGUGGAGACUGAGCCCUGUAAAGGGUAGCCUGCAAAGGAGAUUGAAAAGGAGUGGCCAAAAAAGACAGCAGGGAAACUAGGGCAUUGGAUGUUAUAGAUACCCGAGAAAGCGUUGGUCUGAAUGACCGUUAAGACUCCUCCAGAUAUGAAUUUCUGUAACUUUAUGGAUGUUUCAAAUCCCUUCAAGCUGGGAAAUUCUGUCUCUGUUGCAUCUUUGGGAUAACAAACUUCCUGAAGAAUCACUGUGUCUUUUCAAAGACUGAAAAUGGAUUCCCAGCAAUGUGAAAUCUUGUGCCUGAGUCCUAAAGUGAUCAAAGGUAAGGUUGAGCCUAGGACAAAAUGAGGAUCCCCUGGAGGGAAGCUAGGGCAACACAGUAAGUGGCAAAAGAAUACGAGUGAGGUUAUUUGACUAUCCUCUUCCAGUAGGGCUGGCUCAGCUAUGGCAGACCCCAGGGUGGUUAGGACAAAUGGCAGCCCCAUACAGGGACAUACAUGGACACUGAUCCUUGUUUUUUUCCUUUUUGGGGCCUUUCUGAAUCUCCACUCCAUGUGCAGGGUUGACCUGUUUCCUUGAGGAACUCUGAGAUUUGCAUCAAUGGAGUUAUCUGAGGGCUCUGUGGCUUGGGCUCUGUGCAGGAGGGCAGCCUGGCAAUUGGAUUGUUCCUGCUGGCUGGUGCCAUUGUGUGAUAUUGAGUCACCAGAAUGGUGCCGAUGCACUGCUUUUGGGUGAUAAUCAGGCGCAGGAUGAAUUCGGGGCACUGGGCUACUGAUGGUCAACUGUUAGCACCUGGGCUUGGGCUGUGUGUGGGCACCCAUGCCUCAGCUCUCACCUGUUCAUGUUCCUCCAUGGUACCAUCUCUGAUUUGUGGCGUUCAAAGGCGUAGGAUGGCAGCAAGCCUCCUUUACCCUGUAUAUCCAUCCCCUUGCUGUUGGCACCUAAGGUUGUCACCCCAUGCCCUCAUCAGUCUCUGUACCACAUAUCAGGAAGUCCUCCAGUGGUGGCUAUGCCUGCCUUCUCUGAGGACUUUAAAGACCUUGGCUUUGCCACGCCAACAGGCUCUUCCAACCAGUGCCUUUCCUCCAAAUGAUAUGGCGAUGUUUUGCUUUCCCAGGUCGAUCUUAAGCCAUUCCCAACAAGGAGUGGACAUCCUUGUGUGAAAAACACUGUUUUUCUUGCUCCAGUCACGUCUCCUUGCCUUUCUUGUCUUUUGGUGGUAGUGUGCAGAAGCAGAGGUGCAGGAAAUGUUGAAAGGGAUCACAUUCUAAGAAUGUAGUUAUAAUGGCCUGAAGAAUUCAAGAGAAUACAUGGUUGGAAGAUGUGUCACUUUAUGGUUACACUAUAAAACUCCAAAUGAAAAAUAAAUUAUCAUUCAUACUUUCCUGAAUAUUCUGGGUAAGGCUUGCAUUUUGGUCAUUAUUAAUGAAGUACAGAAACAACCUCUGAGAGAGUGGUUGGAUGCCAGUAUUUGCAGGUGCCACGAUGAAUGAUGCAGCACUAUCAGUCAAGAUGCAACCAACAUUAGACAAAUGGUAUCAGAGAACCACAGAGGCGAAAAAACAAAACCAAAACCCAAAACUAUAUUGUUUCAAUACAAACAGGUUCCAAAAGCUAUGACAUCGUGAGUGACAACAAUGUUGCCGCCUCUUUCUCACAAUAGGAAAUAAAACUUUAACCAAAAGAGCAUGGGCAGAUAUUUCCCGGAUCUGAACAGGAAUAGCUGGUGUCUGGACUCUAUGAAGAAUCUUCAUGUGCAGUGAUAGAAGAAUAAACACAUUUGCAGACUUUUGUAGUGCACAGUGACCGGUGACCAGCAGCAUGUGUUUCCAUAGGCAUCUUCUCUCAGUACCCCAGAAGGUGAAUUGCCAGUGAGUCCUGCCAGGAUGCCCCUCGGUGACUGCACCACCCAGUAAGUCAUGGCUGUGUACUUCCCAUCAAGGUCUGGAUCUCAGCUCAGGUAGUGGGGGCUGCUCUUCCAUAGUCAUUCCAUCCUUGUGUGCUCUGCCUCAGCCCUGGGGAUAGUGGCCGCUUUCUGUACAUGUCAGUCCUCUAUUCUUUAGACUUCUUGUUACCCCAUUAGCAGCCAAUUCUCUUUUGUUACUGCUUAGCAGCCAACUUUUUUUAUAUUAAACUUUCCCCAACC